This 406-nucleotide ribosomal RNA is filed under the name uncultured bacterium. RNAcentral describes it as "partial 16S ribosomal RNA". It matches the Rfam family "Bacterial small subunit ribosomal RNA", at positions 35 to 526 of the family's 1533-position model. The record is from RNAcentral.
AUUGACAGCUGGCGGCAGGCCUAACACAUGCAAGUCGCACGAGUGGCGGUCCGGUGAGUAAUGUCUGGGAAACUGCCCGAUGGAGGGGGAUAACUACUGGAAACAGUAGCUAAUACCGCAUACCAUCGGAUGUUCCCAGAUGGGAUUAGGUAGUAGGUGGGGUAACGGCUCACCUAGGCGACGAGCCCUAGCUGGUCUGAGAGGAUGACCAGCCACACUGGAACUGAGCCACGGUCCAGACUCCUACGGGAGGCAGUAGUGGGGAAUAUUGCACAAUGGGCGCAAGCCUGAUGCAGCCAUGCCGCGUGUAUGAAGAAGGCCUUCGGGUUGUAAAGUACUUUCAGCGAGGAGGCGUUACUCGCAGAAGAAGCACCGGCUAACACCGUGCCAGCAGCCGCGGUAAUAC